GUGAGUACAGCGGCGGACGGGUGAGUAACGCGUAGGAAUCUACCUAGUAGUGGGGGACAACUCGGGGAAACUCGAGCUAAUACCGCAUACGCCCUAAGGGGGAAAGCGGGGGAUCUUCGGACCUCGUGCUAUUGGAUGAGCCUGCGUAAGAUUAGCUAGUUGGUGGGGUAAAGGCCUACCAAGGCGACGAUCUUUAGCUGGUCUGAGAGGAUGAUCAGCCACACUGGGACUGAGACACGGCCCAGACUCC
This 250-nucleotide ribosomal RNA is filed under the name uncultured bacterium. RNAcentral's name for it is "partial 16S ribosomal RNA". It matches the Rfam family "Bacterial small subunit ribosomal RNA", at positions 86 to 339 of the family's 1533-position model. The record is from RNAcentral.